Non-coding RNA from Styela clava, 1279 nucleotides. NCBI's taxonomy places the organism in Eukaryota, Metazoa, Chordata, Ascidiacea, Stolidobranchia, Styelidae. The record is from RefSeq and is a predicted model, not a curated record.
CAAUGGAAAUUGGCCGCCAUUUUCGAUCAAUGUCGCCUGCGAGGUUACGGCGGUUCUGCGUGAUCCUCGGCUAGGCUGGUGCCUUCUGCUAUAAAAUUAUAGGCUACUCGGCGUCUGAUUGCAGCGGAAAUAGCAAACAGUGCAACUAUUGAAGCUAUCAGCAGAUGCCGAGAGAAGAAACAAAUGGGAAAAUAUUUCUAGAGGCUGGAAAUCCGGCCCAGGCAGUUCGUUGUGUGAGACUCAUUUUUGAAAAAUAUCAAUUUGAACCGAAGAGGACGGAUAAAUGGAAAAAAAUAAAAUGGGAUAUAGACAAUAUCCGAUGAGCCAAAUUCACCAAAAAAUUCAAAUCAUCAAAAGCUGAAUUAGCUAAUAUAUUGACUGAGAUGAAAUUUCAAAAAAGAGCAAUAAGCCUACAGUUUGAUCAAAACAUCCUACUCCAGGUGCCACCAGGACAAACCAGUUGUGCCAGAAGCCUAUAAUGUUGGGUCAUAUACAGCACAAGAGUGUGAGACUGCUGCUUAAGCCUCAAGAUUGACUUCAGAAGUACUAUGGCUACUGUUUAUGCAUAUGAUGUAUUGAAGACUGUAGAGGACGCGCUUCGAUGGUUACUACUUUGCGCACAGUGAGUGGACUGUUGCAUGUAUCCAGAACCACAUUACACUGUGUAACACACAUUUUGUUACUGGCUUCUGAUUAUUAUUUUCUGAAAACAGCACGCAACCACAUAAGAAAAUUUGGAUUUUGAUUUUUUGAAUAUUGGGGGGAGUAUUUCACCCAAAUUGUUUUUUGGGGUAUAUAAAACAACAUGAAACUUUCAUUGUAACACAGGUGUGCUAUUUUUUGUGUUUUUAUUUAUCCAAAUUAUUACAAACCUAUUAUAAAUAACUUUUUAGCAACUUGAAAUUGAACAUAAAAACACAGAUUAUUUGUUAAAGUCAAUUUCACGAAUAAGCACUCAUAUGUAGUCACCAUCGCUUGGCUGACAUGGGCAGUCACACGACCUUGUAAUGGAACUAAGAUAAGGAAAGUUGGAAUAAAAAUUGGGCCUAGCUUUAACCUGGUACACAUACUCCCCCUUUUUUUUUUAAAACACACACAUGCUUAACAUCGCUUUUAUCUAAGAAUCCCCCCAUUUUGUUCAGAAAUUUAUUGUUAGAAUAUUAUCGUAAUUGUUUUUGCCACUGGUCAUCUCUACCAAAACAAUUUGAUUUGCUGUAGCUAUUUUAUUGAUGAGUGUAUUUUUUGGUUGACAAAGUAAUAAAAUCUCUCUUUCGUUGUA